Molecule: non-coding RNA, 571 nt
Organism: Biomphalaria pfeifferi
Lineage: Eukaryota; Metazoa; Mollusca; Gastropoda; Planorbidae
Source: the annotation of a GenBank genome assembly
GUUUUGCAAUUGGUUUUCCUUUAAUAGCUAUAAAUUAAAAAAAAAAGAAAUACUAAAUCUAAAUAUCAAAUAAACAUUUAUAAGUAUUUGUAAAUAAUGUUUAUGUCAUAUAACAAAAAAUUAUAUCAAUAUAUUAUUAAUAUAUUAUGAUAGAUCAGUUUUUCCCAAAGUGUGUUCCGCGAAAACCUAUUGUUCCGCUAGGCCUGAAUUGGUGUUCCACGAACUAUUGGAGUAAUUAUUGAGUAAGGCUACAGGUGAAUUAAUUAUAAUGUAAUACAACGACAAAAAAUAUAUAUAUAAUUUAAUUUUAUCACUAUUCUCCAUAACGGAAAAAAUGUACAACAACAUGACUUUGAACUUUGAACUGAUCGAGAUUGUGACUUUACUUUGAAAUAAAAAACAAAGAUCAUCCAUUACAUAGUUUCAGAUGGAGUUUGUCUGAAGAGUACUAAACUAUUUCAACACAUGGACUAGCUUACGUUUGCAUCAUACAAUCUAUUUGUGCCAAGCAGUGGUGUAGCUAGGGUGGGGGAGGAGGGGAAAAAAUUUAAAAUCCUCCCGCCCCCCCCCC